RNAcentral lists this long non-coding RNA (352 nucleotides) under Homo sapiens (human). Its description in RNAcentral is "non-protein coding lnc-COL21A1-5:1". Lineage: Eukaryota; Metazoa; Chordata; Mammalia; Primates; Hominidae. The record is from RNAcentral.
AAACAGAGCAGUUGGCAGCCUUCCAAGUUUCCUCCAUUUUUAAAGAGUUUGCCUACUGAGUACUUGGAUAAUCCCACCAUAUACAUUUCCUGUAGUUUGUGUACAUAUCUGGUUUCCUAUAUAUUGGGUAAGUCUUUUGAGUUUGAGAUACAUAGUAGAUUUAGAUCUAAAAUAGUUGGCAAAGAUGGCAACUAACUUGGCUUAUGCAAGUUGUUACUGCCCAAUCUUGAGCCCUGGUAAACACCCCAAAUUGACUUUGGAUUUUUUUCUGCUGUGCUUAGAUUGAGCCCCAAAAGCCUUCUAAAUACAAUACCCCAGGCAGCCACUUUCUUUGGAUCAGAAUUGGCACUCA